Molecule: transfer RNA, 73 nt
Filed under: Stegodyphus mimosarum
Lineage: Eukaryota; Metazoa; Arthropoda; Arachnida; Araneae; Eresidae
Rfam family: tRNA
About the family: Transfer RNA (tRNA) molecules are approximately 80 nucleotides in length. Their secondary structure includes four short double-helical elements and three loops (D, anti-codon, and T loops).
Source: Rfam by way of RNAcentral
GCCUUCGUGGUGUAGUGGUCAGCACGCUCGACGUGUAACCGAGAGGUCCGUGGUUCAAAUCCCCGCGAGAGCA